Molecule: long non-coding RNA, 725 nt
Filed under: Crocodylus porosus (Australian saltwater crocodile)
Lineage: Eukaryota; Metazoa; Chordata; Crocodylia; Crocodylidae
Description: lncRNA (ENSCPRG00005017039.1)
Source: RNAcentral
AUCCAGCGGUAUGUGGGGCAGCUUCCUUUCUCCCCUCUCCUUGACACAACUUGUUGAAGAGGAAUGUGAGGGCUGGGUGUGAUCUUCCCAAACAUUAGAGUGAAAGGAAGUAACAUACCAAACAGAUGAUGGCAUAAAUGCAGCUGAAUCGAACUCUACCUCCACUCUGUGGGUCACUCCAGCAGUAUUUCAAAGUGCUAAAUCAAUAACAUCAACAACAAAAAUAAAAACUCAGAGCAGUACAUGUUUUCUUCAGCUCAGCAGUCUGAAAGUUCAAAAGUGCUGAGAUGGUUGGAUGCAGCUACUGAAGCCUGGAGCAUGUUGAAAACUGGGAGAGCUGACAGAUGUGGGAAAAAACCCCAGGCUUUAGCAGAAGAGGAAUCAUGUCACUUUGAUCAGUGUCACACUGAGCUGAAAGUAAAGUGCUAUUUUUUCCCAUGUCUGUAAGCACCUUAAGAAGGUAUUUGUAAAGCAGUUUGAAGGAGAAGAGACUGUUCUACUGGUUUCCACUAGAAGCCAGGCCAGGCACCUCUCAUGAAUUCCAGUCUAUAAAAAUGAUAGGUUUGCCAAUCCCUCCCUGGGGAAAAGAUGAGCAGAGAAUGAGACAAGAGGUCUGGGAGGGAAAGCCCUUAGAAACAUCUUACCCAAGAGGGAGCUCAGGCUAUAAUUUAUUUGGCUCUCUCAAACAGAAUAAAGGAAAGCCUAGAAAAGGGUGUGUGUUUGGA